CCUACGGGGGGCUGCAGUGGGGAAUAUUGCACAAUGGGGGAAACCCUGAUGCAGCGACGCCGCGUGAAGGAUGAAGUAUUUCGGUAUGUAAACUUCUAUCAGCAGGGAAGAAAAUGACGGUACCUGACUAAGAAGCCCCGGCUAACUACGUGCCAGCAGCCGCGGUAAUACGUAGGGGGCAAGCGUUAUCCGGAUUUACUGGGUGUAAAGGGAGCGUAGACGGUUAUGUAAGUCUGAUGUGAAAACCCGGGGCUCAACCCCGGGACUGCAUUGGAAACUAUGUAACUAGAGUGUCGGAGAGGUAAGUGGAAUUCCUAGUGUAGCGGUGAAAUGCGUAGAUAUUAGGAGGAACACCAGUGGCGAAGGCGGCUUACUGGACGAUAACUGACGUUGAGGCUCGAAAGCGUGGGGAGCAAACAGGAUUAGAUACCCCGGUAGUC
RNAcentral lists this ribosomal RNA (440 nucleotides) under uncultured Eubacterium sp. RNAcentral describes it as "bacterial SSU rRNA". It matches the Rfam family "Bacterial small subunit ribosomal RNA", at positions 338 to 795 of the family's 1533-position model. The record is from RNAcentral. Lineage: Bacteria; Bacillati; Bacillota; Clostridia; Eubacteriales; Eubacteriaceae.